RNAcentral lists this ribosomal RNA (871 nucleotides) under Shigella flexneri. Its description in RNAcentral is "partial 23S ribosomal RNA". It matches the Rfam family "Bacterial large subunit ribosomal RNA", at positions 76 to 987 of the family's 2925-position model. Lineage: Bacteria; Pseudomonadati; Pseudomonadota; Gammaproteobacteria; Enterobacterales; Enterobacteriaceae. The record is from RNAcentral.
CGUCGGUAAGGUGAUAUGAACCGUUAUAACCGGCGAUUUCCGAAUGGGGAAACCCAGUGUGAUUCGUCACACUAUCAUUAACUGAAUCCAUAGGUUAAUGAGGCGAACCGGGGGAACUGAAACAUCUAAGUACCCCGAGGAAAAGAAAUCAACCGAGAUUCCCCCAGUAGCGGCGAGCGAACGGGGAGCAGCCCAGAGCCUGAAUCAGUGUGUGUGUUAGUGGAAGCGUCUGGAAAGGCGUGCGAUACAGGGUGACAGCCCCGUACACAAAAAUGCACAUACUGUGAGCUCGAUGAGUAGGGCGGGACACGUGGUAUCCUGUCUGAAUAUGGGGGGACCAUCCUCCAAGGCUAAAUACUCCUGACUGACCGAUAGUGAACCAGUACCGUGAGGGAAAGGCGAAAAGAACCCCGGCGAGGGGAGUGAAAAAGAACCUGAAACCGUGUACGUACAAGCAGUGGGAGCACGCUUAGGCGUGUGACUGCGUACCUUUUGUAUAAUGGGUCAGCGACUUAUAUUCUGUAGCAAGGUUAACCGAAUAGGGGAGCCGAAGGGAAACCGAGUCUUAACUGGGCGUUAAGUUGCAGGGUAUAGACCCGAAACCCGGUGAUCUAGCCAUGGGCAGGUUGAAGGUUGGGUAACACUAACUGGAGGACCGAACCGACUAAUGUUGAAAAAUUAGCGGAUGACUUGUGGCUGGGGGUGAAAGGCCAAUCAAACCGGGAGAUAGCUGGUUCUCCCCGAAAGCUAUUUAGGUAGCGCCUCGUGAAUUCAUCUCCGGGGGUAGAGCACUGUUUCGGCAAGGGGGUCAUCCCGACUUACCAACCCGAUGCAAACUGCGAAUACCGGAGAAUGUUAUCACGGGAGACAC